UAAGCGGAGGACAAGAAACUAACAAGGAUUCCCUUAGUAACUGCGAGUGAAGUGGGAAAAGCUCAAAUUUAAAAUCUGGCAGUAUUUUUUACUGUUCGAAUUGUAAUCUAGAGAAGUAUUAUCUGUUCUGGACCAUAUAUAAGUCUCCUGGAAUGGGGCAUCAUAGAGGGUGAGAAUCCUGUCUUUGAUAUGGAUUACCAGAAUAUUAUGAUGUACUUUCAAUGAGUCGAGUUGUUUGGGAAUGCAGCUCUAAAUGGGUGGUAAAUUCCAUCUAAAGCUAAAUAUUGGCGAGAAACCGAUAGUGAACAAGUACCGUGAGGGAAAGAUGAAAAGAACUUUGGAAAGAGAGUUAAACAGUACGUGAAAUUGUUGAAAGGGAAACACUUAAAGUCAGUCACAUUGGUCAGAAAUCAAUCUUGCUUUUAGCUUGAUGUAUUUUCUGAUUAAUUGGUCAGCAUCAAUUUUAAUCAGUGGAAAAAGAUUAAGAAAAUGUGGCAUCUUUUGAUGUGUUAUAGUUCUUUAUCAUAUGCACUGAUUUGAAUUGAGGAAUUCAGCAUGCCAUAAAGGCCGGGUUUUAAUCACGUUCAUGCUUAGGAUGCUGGCAUAAUGGCUUUAAUUGACCCGUCUU
This is a ribosomal RNA of 628 nucleotides. It matches the Rfam family "Eukaryotic large subunit ribosomal RNA", at positions 47 to 655 of the family's 3401-position model.